UCCCAGCUGUGAGGACCGUGGGGCCGCUAGCUGAGCUCGCCCUCCACACGGAGGGACCUGGCUCGCCGUGGCUUUGAUGGUCAGGAGGCGCCUCAGAAAGGCGAAUGGUGUAGCCGGCCCUGGAGAACUCGGCUAGGUGGAGCCCCCGGAUGGGCGUGCCGCGCCUCGGCGCUCAGCUUCAGGAGCCCCUCUUCGUUACGCGGGCGCUAAGAAACUUAACCCUGAAACUGAGCUCGCUCCUCCUUACCGCCUGUGUUCGUUUUCUGUUGCUGCUGUAAUGGCUCCUGAGGAACUGAGGCCCUCGGUCCAACAGCCCACAAGAAGCUACAUGAGUGAGCUUGGCAUCAAACACCCCAGUGGAGCCCCAAGAUGCCUGCAGGCGUGCAAGACUAAGCAGAGGACCGGCUGAGCUGCACCCACAUUUCUGACCUGCAGAGACUAUGAGAACUCCCAAGAAACUCGGGCUGCCCCAGAAGUCUCAAGCCCCAUCCCUACCCCACGAUGUGAGCUCCAAGCUGCAGACAGCAGACACGCUGGAGAACUUGUCUAAACUGAAUUUACGUUCACCCUGCCCCCAGUCACCUGCGAGUCACUGCAGAUUACACCUUCUCUCUUACCCUCCAUACCCAUGGGAGACUCAGUGCCAUCAACUCUGCAGCCCUCACCACUCUCAGAUCUGUUCCCCUUUUCCAUCCCACUGUUCCUCCCACGGUGACUCAAAACCAGUCACCUGAACCCUAACAGAGGUGUCCUAGUUGGGCUCCCUGUCCCCCAUCUUCCCUCUCUCCAAUCCAUGUGCUGGUGUCCCCCCCACCCCACCUGCAGGACGGAGUCUGCAUUCAUUAGGAUGACGUCCAAGGUGGGCCAUGGUUUGGCCCCUGCUUCUCUCUCCAGGUCCAUCUCCUGGGGCGCCUCCUCCUUCCUCUACUUCCCCAAACUCCAGCUGCACCCAAUCUGCAGAGUGCUGAACAUCUCAGCCUGCCAGAUGCCUCCCGUCUCAGUGCCUUGUUUACUCCCCCUGACUGGAAUGUUCUUCCCCCAUUUGGGCCAACUGCAAACACUCCCCUUUCGUGAGUCAGCGCAAGCCUAGGGAGCCUGGACCCUCAGGGUGGAAUGACCACUUCCCCUCUUGAGCCUCAGCUGAACCCGACCGAAUCUGUAGAGACUCCUAUUGUAACUCAUGCUUUUUCUCCAAAUAUUUCACAUCAGCCCUCCUCCUCCUACUAUAUAUUCCUUGAGGACAGGAAAACCUCAUUUGUUUUCUUAGUUCACCAGCUUCUAACACAGUUCUUAAUACAUGUUACAUGAAUUUAUAAAUGAACAUACACCCCCUACAUACACCCAGACUCUAAGAUUUCAAGGCUGGGAACGUGACUGGACCACUCAGAGCUACAGCUGGUAGGAAGAGUUGAUUUUUGAGAUAAAUGGGGUGCGCUAUAGAGGUUUAAGCUUCAAGUGAUGGGAUCCCAUGAUGCCUAUCAGACUUCUCAAAGGGGAACUGAAGCUCAGAUGGUAGAACUGAGAGUGAUUAAUGCCAAGAUGGGUGUCAGAAAAGAAGUUAUUUUUCUCCGUUUUAAUUUUCUUUUAUUAUCAAACCUACACAACUCCAUAGCAUAAAGCAAAGCUUUCUAAACGUUAAAACGCAUCCCUGGGGCUUAAAACCCUAAAUCAGAGGACAUAAAUGAAGACUUGGUACACUGCUUCUGAAAGCCUGCCAAUUUCUGUGCCAACCGCCAGGAAGCCAGCACAGAUGCCUCCUUGGAGCCCUGAGAGCCUCCAGCAUGUUUACCAAGUCUGGCUACUUAAACAGGUGUCCCAAGGGCCCUGGACAAGGAGGAGGUCCUUGUCUACUCAUUAACCCCGGAAACAAAGCAAACCAAAGGCACAGUGUGUGACUUCGCUAAUUCUUCUUCUCCUUCUGGAGUUCGGCCAUUGAUUGUGGCACAGAUAAUGCUAUAUGUUCCACCAGACUCAUUUCAUUUUCAUCCCAGACACUAAGGAAGACUGCCUUCCCCAAGCUCCCUCGUAGUUACACUGGGCCCGUGUGAUUAAAGCUCUGACCUGUAGACUGGGAAGAAGUGAUAUAUAUCACUUCCAGACCUGGCCACAGAAUCCUUUACAUGACCCUCCGUGGUCUCUCUCCCCAUUCCACACUGACCCCAGAUGACAAAUUUGGGAGGAAACUGGGUCCCUGAAUAACUAUGGAGUAGAGCUGCCACUCACUCCCUCAGUUCACCUGCAUGGAGCUUUCAUAUAAGCAAAAAAUAACAUUGUUGCAUUAAGUCACUGAGAUUUGGAUAUUCUUUGUUAUAUCAGCUAGCAUCACCUAUCCUGACUAAUAUACUACAUUAGCCACAACGCACUGGGAAAAUACUCAUCCAUUCAGCAUUUACUAAGCAGCUGCUAAUGGCAAAAACUGUUGUGUGCUAUUUACAACUGAGGGAAAGAGAAUUCACCUGUUGCACCAUGAGCUUCUCAAAUUCCUCCACAAUCUCAGGCAAGCUGAGCCACUUGAUUCCUGGCAAAAGUGCAAGGACUCGGCUGCCCAUCUUCAUCAGCAGCAGGUCCAUCUGCACCUGAGCAAGCAGGCCAGGGUGCAACACCUGCCGAAAAGAGGCACAGUGAGACAGGAGGGAUCAAUCAACCCAGCCACGGCUGGGUCCUACCGUCAAAGGAGAGUCAGCAGGCUUCUCAUCAGAGCAAAGGAGAAGCAGUCCCAACGCCCAGGAUGCUCCUGCAUUCCUCCCUUUGCGUCUUCCUGAGGAGACUCAGAGGGCAGCUCCCCUGCAUGGCACUCAGCUUUGCUGGGAAGAAUAGGGGGGCUUCUCCUUCCAAAUACAUUAAGUUUAGAUCAGUGAUUCCUAAACAUAGUGAGCAUAAAAGUCACCGUGGGUUGCUUGGUGAAAAUGUGGACUCCCAGAUCUCCUCCAAGACCUACUGAGUCAGGGACUUCCCUGGUGGUCUAGUGGUUAAGACUCCAUGCUCCCAAGGCAGCGGGCCCGGGUUCGAUCCUGAUCAGGGAACUAGAUCCCACAUGCAUGCUGCAACUAAGACCCAGCACAGCCAAAUAAAUAAAUAAAUAAAUAUUUUUUAAAAAGACGUACUGAAUCGGACUGGCUGUAAGGGGAGCUGGGAAUCUGCAUUUUACUGAGUGUACAGGUAGCUGAGUCAGGUGGUCCAGAGCCCGCAAAA
Molecule: long non-coding RNA, 3192 nt
Organism: Lagenorhynchus albirostris (white-beaked dolphin)
Lineage: Eukaryota; Metazoa; Chordata; Mammalia; Artiodactyla; Delphinidae
Exons: 3
Source: RefSeq, a predicted model, not a curated record